Non-coding RNA from Nasonia vitripennis (jewel wasp), 46 nucleotides. NCBI's taxonomy places the organism in Eukaryota, Metazoa, Arthropoda, Insecta, Hymenoptera, Pteromalidae. The record is from Rfam.
GCAUCGGCUCUUUUCAGAGCCCCAAUAAUAUUUAAUGCAGGAACAU